Molecule: transfer RNA, 86 nt
Filed under: Tissierellia bacterium
Lineage: Bacteria; Bacillati; Bacillota; Tissierellia
Description: tRNA-Leu
Rfam family: tRNA
About the family: Transfer RNA (tRNA) molecules are approximately 80 nucleotides in length. Their secondary structure includes four short double-helical elements and three loops (D, anti-codon, and T loops). Further hydrogen bonds mediate the characteristic L-shaped molecular structure. tRNAs have two regions of fundamental functional importance: the anti-codon, which is responsible for specific mRNA codon recognition, and the 3' end, to which the tRNAs corresponding amino acid is attached (by aminoacyl-tRNA synthetases). tRNAs cope with the degeneracy of the genetic code in two manners: having more than one tRNA (with a specific anti-codon) for a particular amino acid; and 'wobble' base-pairing, i.e. permitting non-standard base-pairing at the 3rd anti-codon position.
Source: RNAcentral
GCAGAAGUGGUGGAAUUGGUAGACACGCUAUCUUGAGGGGGUAGUGAGCAUAGCUCGUGGGGGUUCGAGUCCCCCCUUCUGCACCA